GGGCGAAUGGUUUAGUGGUAUAAUACUCCCUUAGCAUGUUUUCUCUUAAGAGACGUCCUUCUGGGAGUGGUCCAGGGUUCGAUUCCCUGUUCGUCCA
This 97-nucleotide transfer RNA is filed under the name Fusarium verticillioides 7600. RNAcentral describes it as "tRNA-Ala for anticodon AGC". It matches the Rfam family "tRNA". From Rfam's summary of the family: Transfer RNA (tRNA) molecules are approximately 80 nucleotides in length. Their secondary structure includes four short double-helical elements and three loops (D, anti-codon, and T loops). RNAcentral also lists the same sequence under 1 other name. The record is from Rfam by way of RNAcentral. Lineage: Eukaryota; Fungi; Ascomycota; Sordariomycetes; Hypocreales; Nectriaceae.